Molecule: ribosomal RNA, 468 nt
Filed under: uncultured bacterium
Lineage: Bacteria
Description: partial 16S ribosomal RNA
Rfam family: Bacterial small subunit ribosomal RNA
Source: RNAcentral
GACGAACGCUGGCGGCGUGCUUAACACAUGCAAGUCGAACGGAAAGGCCCUGCUUUUGUGGGGUGCUCGAGUGGCGAACGGGUGAGUAACACGUGAGUAACCUGCCCUUGACUUUGGGAUAACUUCAGGAAACUGGGGCUAAUACCGGAUAGGAGCUCCUGCUGCAUGGUGGGGGUUGGAAAGUUUCGGCGGUUGGGGAUGGACUCGCGGCUUAUCAGCUUGUUGGUGGGGUAGUGGCUUACCAAGGCUUUGACGGGUAGCCGGCCUGAGAGGGUGACCGGCCACAUUGGGCCUGAGAUACGGCCCAGACUCCUACGGGAGACAGCAGUGGGGAAUAUUGCACAAUGGGCGGAAGCCUGAUGCAGCAACGCCGCGUGCGGGAUGACGGCCUUCGGGUUGUAAACCGCAUUCGCCUGUGACGAAGCGUGAGUGACGGUAAUGGGUAAAGAAGCACCGGCUAACUACGUG